This 253-nucleotide ribosomal RNA is filed under the name uncultured bacterium. RNAcentral describes it as "partial 16S ribosomal RNA". It matches the Rfam family "Bacterial small subunit ribosomal RNA", at positions 524 to 776 of the family's 1533-position model. The record is from RNAcentral.
UACGGAGGGGACUAGCGGUGUUCGGAAUUACUGGGCGUAAAGCGCGCGUAGGCGGACUAUUAAGUCAGGGGUGAAAUCCCGGGGCUCAACCCCGGAACUGCCCUUGAUACUGGUAGUCUGGAGUUCUGGAGAGGUGAGUGGAAUUCCGAGUGUAGAGGUGAAAUUCGUAGAUAUUCGGAGGAACACCAGUGGCGAAGGCGGCUCACUGGCCAGAUACUGACGCUGAGGUGCGAAAGUGUGGGGAGCAAACAGG